This 253-nucleotide ribosomal RNA is filed under the name uncultured bacterium. Its description in RNAcentral is "partial 16S ribosomal RNA". It matches the Rfam family "Bacterial small subunit ribosomal RNA", at positions 524 to 776 of the family's 1533-position model. The record is from RNAcentral.
UACGUAGGGUGCAAGCGUUGUCCGGAAUUAUUGGGCGUAAAGAGCUCGUAGGCGGUCUGUCGCGUUGGAUGUGAAAACCCAGGGCUCAACCCUGGGCCUGCAUUCGAUACGGGCAGACUAGAGUUCGGUAGGGGAGACUGGAAUUCCUGGUGUAGCGGUGAAAUGCGCAGAUAUCAGGAGGAACACCGGUGGCGAAGGCGGGUCUCUGGGCCGAAACUGACGCUGAGGAGCGAAAGCGUGGGGAGCAAACAGG